This 795-nucleotide ribosomal RNA is filed under the name uncultured bacterium. Its description in RNAcentral is "bacterial SSU rRNA". It matches the Rfam family "Bacterial small subunit ribosomal RNA", at positions 8 to 796 of the family's 1533-position model. The record is from RNAcentral.
AGAGUUUGAUCAUGGCUCAGGAUGAACGCUAGCGGCAGGCUUAAUACAUGCAAGUCGAGGGGUAACAUGGGUAGCAAUACCUGAUGACGACCGGCAAACGGGUGCGGAACACGUACGCAACCUUCCCAUAACUGGUGAAUAGCCCUCCGAAAGGAGGAUUAAUACACCGUAACAUAAUGAAGUGGCAUCACUUUAUUAUUAUAGGCUUCGGCCGGUUUUGGAUGGGCGUGCGCCUGAUUAGGUAGUUGGCGGGGUAACGGCCCACCAAGCCUGCGAUCAGUAACUGGUGUGAGAGCACGACCAGUCACACGGGCACUGAGACACGGGCCCGACUCCUACGGGAGGCAGCAGUAAGGAAUAUUGGUCAAUGGACGAAAGUCUGAACCAGCCAUGCCGCGUGAAGGAUUAAGGCCCUCUGGGUUGUAAACUUCUUUUCUCUGGGGCGAAAAACAGGUAUUCUUACUUGCUUGACAGUACCAGAGGAAUAAGCACCGGCUAACUCCGUGCCAGCAGCCGCGGUAAUACGGAGGGUGCAAGCGUUAUCCGGAUUCACUGGGUUUAAAGGGUGCGUAGGUGGGGAGGUAAGUCAGCGGUGAAAUCCCCGAGCUUAACUUGGGAACUGCCAUUGAUACUAUCUCUCUUGAAUAUCUUGGAGGUGAGCGGAAUAUGUCAUGUAGCGGUGAAAUGCUUAGAUAUGACAUAGAACACCAAUUGCGAAGGCAGCUCACUACACGGUAAUUGACACUGAGGCACGAAAGCGUGGGGAUCAAACAGGAUUAGAUACCCUAGUAGUCC